UGCUGGAAUCAACACAGACUACCUCCAUGCACCUAAUCAGAACACUUUGCAUGUUUUUUGUGUACUUGUCCCCUUUGUGUAUUGCUGCUAAUCUGUCUCUUUCUAGGUUCUGUUGGUUGCAUGCAGAUUGUGCCAGAUGAUUUAUCUGUCUAUGGUCUUAGCAUGGGCUCUGUGCUAAUAUGCAAUUUGUGCUCUUUUUUCCCUCAGGUCAACCGCAGACAGGGUCCUUCCACAACCACAUACUUAUGCCAGUAAAAGCUACAGCUCUUCUCCGAUCCAAGAAGCCUGGACUGCAGUCACCAUCUCAACACACCAACCAAGAGAAAGGCGGAUGGCUCAAUUCAAUAUGGAAAAUUGCACAAUAAAAGUUCCAGGACAUGAAGGCUGCAUACUGUGAACGUCAACCUUCAGGGCACCGUCCUGUGCAGAAGACUUUCUGCCCCAAGAGGGAUGGCUGACGGCAGACACUCACAACCAGCACAGACGCCUCCAACCUCAGACUAGGCCCUUCACAGUUGCUGCACUUACCC
Molecule: long non-coding RNA, 530 nt
Organism: Engraulis encrasicolus (European anchovy)
Lineage: Eukaryota; Metazoa; Chordata; Actinopteri; Clupeiformes; Engraulidae
Exons: 3
Source: RefSeq, a predicted model, not a curated record